ACAUGUCCAAAAGCCGGAGGUAGCUAACAGCUUUAACUCCACCAGGGCUUCCCGGACUGCAUAUAUUUUUUUUAUUUCAUUUUAUCCCCCUUCAUGUCCCUUUCCCAUACGGGCUCCCCUUUAUGUUUGUACUCUGCUUCAACUCCACCUUGGGCCCAACUCUGGAAUGGGUCUGUCUCAGCCCGAUGAUUGGCGUUUGGUUGGUAGCCAGGGACAGCAGGGCUCUAAGAAACUGUUUUAGUGUUUGGAAUACAUUAACGGCCACCGCACUCAAGGUGCCUCGAUGUAGUUGAAGAAGUCAGGCUGCCUUUGACACUCCAUCUUCUUCCAAUAUCUUGUUUGACAUUUGGGAUGCAGAUUUAUUUAUUUCAAUAUUUCCGGAACAUUGAAAUGAAUUGAAUUUAUUCCAUCUAGUUAUUUUCUCCCCCCCGUGCCUCUGCAGUGCAUUAACACAUGGCUCUGUCACUCACAGGCAGUGGCUUUCUCUUGUUAAAAUUGCCUGCUUAUACUUUCGUGGAAAGCAGUUACUAAGCAUCGGGGGCCGUCCGAAUAUGCCGCAGCGUUUUAAUGCCACAUUUGCCAUCAUCGCUUAAUUGCAAACUACUUGUUUAACAGUCCACUAGGUCAUGGAUGAUUCAAAAUUGCUUCAUCUAAAACGACUGCAGUGCCGGUCAAUAAGGGAAGCCACAAUUUAUCUUAAAGCUGCGUUGUCAGAAUUCACAAUGAUGGCCUUGGGUCGAAAUGCUGCUUUAAACGUCCUUGUUCUCGCCACCUGCAUCCCGUAUCUGUUGUGUGUUCACGGGUGUGCCCUUUGCUUAUCUCAAGAACCCAUCUGUGGAUCUACUGCACACCUGGCAGCUGUAUUGCUAGGGGCCAAAGUAAGUGUCAAAGUUGGUGCAAUUCAGAUUGUCAUAAUUGUAACUGUAUUGCCACAGCCUUUAAGGGCGGUGGCUCAAUCACUGCAGUUCACUUAUGCUGCUGGACGCCGGAUACAGUAACGUUACCACCGAACACUUCUUCCCCUCCUCAACGAAGCGAAACAAGCAGUUGUUGCAGAGGCCACUCUGCCCUCGCCGGAUGGGCACGCCUUUCAAGCGUUCAGCUUCUCAGUCACUUUUUUUUGUACGGGUAAGGUUAUGUGAAUAGCAUUUCGCGACUGCAGUCAGAGUUAUGUAUGUUGUGAAGAUGACAUUGUUCAACGCACUGCAGCCAAGGACAGCCUUCCUCAUCCGGUUGGCGCCAUGUGUUUCCCAGCUUUUCGCAGUUGCCGUUGCUGCUUGGCAGGGGGAGAGUGUAUGUGUGGCCAAGUCCCACUGUGAACGACCUCCAUGUCCUCGACCUGACCAGACCUGCCAUCUCUUUAAUGGCUAUUAUAUCUCAGCCCCACUGUUCAUGCUCUCCAGUGGUGCCUUACUUUAUCUCCCUGUCCCUCCUCCUUUGCACUCCCUCUACGUCAAAUUACUGUGUAAUUGGAGUUAUUACACGUCAGCCCGUUUAAGGAAGAUGCAUGUAUUCAUCAAACUUUUUUUUCCACACAACAAACGCAUCAAAUGACAGUAAUCCCAGUGAAAGUGUUUUAAGAAGUGGACUCAUUUGAACAAUCAAAUAGUAACAAUUAGUUAAUUUUAUAGCUAAUCUUUUGUUUCUGGAAAAUAACCACUUCUUAUUUGCCGAAGAUUGCUACGGUGAUAAUGGAGGUAAACACUAGUCAGAGGCCAAUUGUCAAUCAAUGAUGCAUUAACGAAACAUUUUGUUCUUUAAUGUACAUAAGGCAAUCUGUUUUUUCUACCCGCUUUGUGAAUAUCCCAUAUCAGUAACAGCAGCCGGCUGUGGUGAGAGAAAACACAUGCACAUUAAUGCAAAUCAUGUUAAGUGACCACUGUGUUUACAACAGAAACUAGACCAUAACAUUAUGUUGCCAAUACUUGGCAAUUGUGAUUACCAACAGCAAAAUUAUUUUCUCCAUGGUUGGGCAAACGGAUUCACAACAUCAUGAGCUUAAAGAACUCAUUUAAAUAACUGUGACCAUCCAUGGUACAUCCCAUAUUAAAUACAUGUACUGGGAUGCAAAUGAAAUACUGAAGUCUGAUGCAUUUUCAGUAACAGAUGUUUGUAGCGGUCCUACCUUGGUUGAGAAAAAGACACCUCAGAAUGUGGUCGACCUAUUUAGAAAGCAUGUUCAGUUUACUGUCCGCCUACAUUUCGAGUGAUUUAACUAAACUGGUGUUGACACGGCCAGAUGGUAAUAUCAGUUUGCUGCCUCUGAACAUUGAAACUAUUGCAUUGUAAGAAGCUUGGUGAAUUUGGCUGCACUGAUCAGAACGUGAGUUUGCAAUAACUUUUUAUUCUUCCGUUUACAAAAAUAAAAAAUUGAAAUGAAAUGUAAAAUGUACUUGAAAGCGGCAGAUUUGCCUCUCAUAAGAUCUGAAUAGAAUACUAAAAUCCAAAUAAAUAUAUCUCAUGUAUUACGGGUGAAAUAAGAAAAAUAAAAUUGUCUGCAGCACACUACUGUGGAAAGGGAUAGCAAUGCUAUGAUUAGGAUGCUGAGGGUUUUGUGGGUGCCAAAGAUACAUGUGGAAACAGUUUUUAUUUACUUAUAAAAUAAGUCAUUGGUUGUAAAUCCAACUCAAACUAAGAAACAUCCAUGUUCAAGUCAGCUGGGAACUUUAGCCAAUUAAAAAUGCUGUAAACCAACUCAUGGAACUGAUGUUUGCUUAUUGCGUUGAAAAAUGAAGAAACCCCAGACAAAAAAAGGUCAUCUCGGAUUGAAAACGUCCAACAAAAAGUAUUUAACAAAGUGAACGGCAUUCUGCUACGGAGCAAACAUGUCAGCUGAGUGCAAUCCACAGGCCACCGAGUAGCUCCAUGACGUAGUUGACGGUCUCUUGUUUCCACCAACGAUCCCCAAUCGCAGGACGCACACAGGUAUAUAUACAGAUAGAAAAUGGGUGUAUUCAUCCCAUUUGCCUGUUCAUUUUCAUUUUUUUCAUUUUUUUCUUUUCUUGAUGAUGGGAUUAUAGUUGGUGCGGAGAGCGGCGUCUCCGGAAAACGAAACCGCCGCUGCUGCAGUCAUUUAUAUCGGAGAGACGGAGACGGUAGUUGACGAUGGAGAGCGCUUUUUGCAUUGGAUGUUAAACAAACAGAGCCGCGACAUACAGCGGAGAACUGUGCAGAGGAAUUCACACAGAAUGUGUCACACAGAAGGGGGAUGAGUAGCAAACUUUAGGACUGAUCUGGCUAAGUUCGCUGCUCGGCUACUUCCAUCUCAACAUCUACCUUGAAAAGGACCACCACUGCUGCCCUAAAAGACAGUGGUUUGGAAAACAUUCUGGCUAAAGAGAGAUUGUUGGCACUUCAAACCCAGCCGUCAAAUGAUGGAGAGCACAGCAAAGUGCACGAGGACAGCGGGAAGAGCCGCUAGUUCGACAUGUUCCACUAUGUGGAAUUCUGCCGAUGAUCAUGUGUGCAGCUUUGUGUUUAAAAUACAAUUAAACAACAGUAUCUAAAAUAUACGCUUUCUGAAGUGAUUACUUGUUACUUAUAAGAUGUAGUUUUUAGAAGUAAAACAAACUUUUAAUCGUGAUUAAUUGCGUUGAAUGAAUUUCAAAAUGUGCGAUUAAUUAGUUAAUUUUUUUAAUCUAUUGACAGACCUUGUAACAAGCUUGACUCAAACCUUUUGAAAAGUUUACUUAAUGUGUUCUGAGAACAUAGCUUCAGCGUGGAGAGGGAAAAUUCUGUCACAUCGAGUCGUUCUUUCCUCACUGCGCAGUAAUUUGGAUUACCAUCUCCACCAUGUGGUAGUCUGUUGUUGUGUAUCAGCUACCUUUAACAUCUUUAUGACACCGUACUACAUUUAUGCUCGUAAAGUGAUUUUUAAAUACUCGCCUGACUAUACGGCAAAAGUAUUUAUGAAAAUACAAAGCCCUUUUAAGUCUGGCACCACCAUCACACAGCGUGUUCAGCAUCCAAAACCUCUGAUCAACAAUUUUAAGUGCAUCAGGAUCCAAACACAAUUCAAACUGCACAAAUUACUCUCCGCUCCUAAAAGGGUCUGAAUGAUAUGCUUUUAAGAAUAAUUAUUCUCAAAGGCAUACUUGAAGCAGAGUAAAAAAGAGAGGACGAGUGUCUGUAUGCCCCCGACCUUAGCUGUAUUAGCAUAAUUGAAUUUCAAACGAUCAGGGUAGUAUUGAGGAAAAGGGAAGCCAUUCGAAGAGUGUAAAUGGUCUGCAAUCUGCACACCUACCUAAUAUCAUCAUAGAGAAAAUGGAUGUGGUUGACUGGAAGGUUGAUGUGUCAGCCCUAAGUACAUUAAGUGAAAACACAAGAGAGGGUCAAAAGGUAAUACAGGUAAUCAAAUAAGUCCGUAAUCUUAACUUUUUUGUUACUUCUAAUGAAACUCUUCAAGUUCAUGUGAAGUACAAGCAGAGAAUCCACAGCACGUCUUUUUCACAUCCCACACUAAUUUAUAAACUUUCGUUAAUGAUCAAAUGCCAACAGAAUUUAAUUGUGAAUGUGAUCUGUUUUUAUUGAGCGCACUGACAACCAGAGGCACCUUUUACUGUUUAAGUUACAAACUUAUUUAAUGUCUGUAUUAAUAUAAGCAGUUUCAAAGGAGGAUGUAAAAAAACAAAAAAGCCGGUAAGAAGGAAGGAAGGAAGAUUGGACGGGAAAAUAUAUACAUACAGUUUGCUACCGACCGAUCGUUGAAGUUGGUCACCGAUGAUGACAAGGGUACCCUUACCAAAAUAGACAUUUGAAAACAAUCAUUAUAUUUCCCUAAACCUAAUCUUCUGUGCAUGGAUCUCACCAGACAUUUUCACGGCAUUCUCAGAUUAGAAAAAAAGAUUGGUUAGAGUGGUUUCUAACGCUUUUGAAAGGCAAAGAAACAUGGGUCCAUAGGGGCAUCAGUUAAAUAAGUGCGGAAUUUGGAAUUUUAAUUUGGACCUUUCACGGGCAAAAACUAAGCUAUGCUGUCCUUAAAGGAAAAACAAAUCAUAUUCAGAGCAUUGCAAUAACAGUAAAAAAGGAUUGGCUUGGUAAAGAUAUAGUGAAGUGAAUUCUUCCUGAGCAGAUAAUUAAGCCGCCCUUCCUCCUAUCCGUUUUGCUAAAUUCACAUCGCAGGGCUGACUGCAUCUGCUUUUUGUGCAUGUAGGUGCAGGUAGUCGCAUGUGGGCAUGCCCUACGGCUGGCUCACGACGGCAGGGAAGCGUAGCACCUGCCCUCUGAGGUGAACACUGUUAGCUCUGUUGUUCCGUUUGGCAUUAUUUGUUCUUUUAGCCCUGUUAACACUAUUAGCUAGGAGCUGACUGCUCGAUUGCUGCCAUGUUGAAAGCUGUCGAGAGGCAACCGACAUGUUCCCAAUCUUGUAUUAUGCACCUUGGAUUCAACCAACCUGUCAGUGGUGCGCCAUCACCAUGUCCACCUCCAUGUAAGCAGGGAGAUGUGAUGAAAUGGACAAUUUCUCACCUCUCUGUGUCAUCAUGAUGAACGACCAGAGAGGUUAGGGCAAGUUUCUCCCUGUGGAGCGGUGAGCUAUCACUCAAACAGGGUCUCCGCAGCCGAAAUGUACGUAAACAUGCACAUAAAAUCAGAUCCCUCAGCAGGUGGUAUUCUGUCCUUGGCAGAGGAACGAAAAGUCAAAUUGGCAUACAUUACAAUGAUGGCUACUUUCCUCGGGGACAGACUGUUUUUAGAUAUCUGUCACAAGUCGGAAGUCAGAGCCUGCCUUAGGAACCACCCUCUGACAGGGUUUGAUUUCUGCCUCGGAGGAGACUAGAUGCAAUCUUAGCACUCAAAACAGCUGACACUCACCUCAAAGCCACCUAUUAAGGAACGAAAGCUCUAAACUAUUGGUAGGAAACAGAAACCAUAUUUUUCCAAAAGCAUGCAAUCUAACUCUGUACUUCAUUUUCUACAACCUGUACACAGGAACAGCAUUUUAAUGAUUAACCUUUUCUUAACACAUUGUCACUUUCAAUCCUGGAGAAUGUUUGUAGGGAGGUCUGCUUUUUAAAGCUUCUCAUAAACAACAUAUGCUCACAGCAAUUAUGGUUACCCUGUAGGCAUAUAUAACCUUGAGUCUUCAAAGCAGAUGUUGGCAAAAAUAAGAGAGAUUGUAACAGCUUUGGAUGAAUGAUUCAUUGGCAUUUAUGAGUUCUUAUAUUGGUCAACGAUGUCUGCUGCUGUGAAAACUUAAAAAAAUAAAAUAAAAAUGUGCUUAUAUCGUUACACACUUUGUCCACCCACACAUUUUAUUUAAAAAAUGCAAAGUGCUGGUUUGGUACUCCGUGGGUAGAUCGGACAGAUGAUGCUAUGGGUCUGUUGGAAAAUGCCAAGGCAGAGGUAGCAGCUCUCACAUGUAUGGCCCGAAAUUGUCAGGGAAAGUGGGGUACUUUAUUUUUGUAUCUCUCACACUCUAAAAACAUGAAUAAGGGAAAUGUCUUUGCUGUUGGUGAAAACAUUUUACCAUCAGACUUUGAAGCUUUGCUAAAGAGUAAUUUGUACUUUGAAGUGCUACUAUGCAUACUUUAAUAUACAAAAAACACAUCUUUGUACAUUUUUUUUGUACAACUGGUGGCAGUUCGCCCGAAUAAUAAUAAUUACGAGCAGUAGCAGUAACAAAACGAAACAACAGCGCUGCAUACCGAGGGGGCAAAACUCCCGAAUCAAUAUAAAAAAACCCUCCUCUCAUCUGUCAGAAGCGAUCGCGCAUGCGUGGUGACCUGACGGGAUUUUUUUUUUUCCCAAUCGCAGGUGAUCUACCGACACCGGAAAUGCAAAUGGCUGUACACAACCACUGAAUCUUUCCUCUUAUGUCCUAUUGUCUCUAAAUGAUCAUGCAAAUAUCCUGAUGUUUAGCAAGUAUAAUCUUUUGCCAUCAUAGUUUGCCAGGUAAUCACGUUAAUUCGCACAAAACACAAAGUACAGCUGAAGCUGAUGGCAAUGAUUCUGUGUUAGACAAUACAUUCUUUGUUUGAUACACAUUAAUCCCGUCUAUUGAACUCUUAAUGUAUUUUUAUGGGUUGCUGCUCGUAGAAUUUUUUUGUAUUUCCAGAUCAUCAAGAUAACCUUGAGCAAAAUAACUUUACGCCAAUGUUUUUUCAGUGAGUACUAGUCCAGAUUGUUACAGCAGUCUCAUUAUAACACUUGAUUAUAUAGGAAUGUAAGCUUUCCCUGCACUAUACACCACAGAUCAAUGUGAAAAGAGGUUAUAAAAUGGUAAUCACAUAUCAUUCUAUUUUCCUUAUUGAGUUAAUUCAAGAAUAUAUGGUUCACCAGGUUGACUGAGUCUUGACUCUUUGGAGUUUCCAAAAGGUCACUUCAAGUAUUAUUAUAAUGUAAGUUGUUUAUUAAUCAUUAGGACAUUGUCAGUACAAUAAAAGUACUUUUUAUUAUUUACCUGAGUUUUCACUGUUUCCUGUUUUAUUGUGCCAAUCACCAUGUCUCCCUUUUGCUUCAGCUGUCUCAAUUGUGUCCACCUGUUGACUUACUCUCCCCUUGUGUACUUUAGUGGCGUUGUGUUGUUUGUUGCCAGUUGGUCUUUUGCUGUCGUCAAGUGUGCCAGCACCUUUUUCCCUAGGCCUUUAAUUCAAUAUUUUUUCCAAUCACGUCUACGAAUCUUGUAACAUUUUUGGAAUCAAUCUUCUAACAAUUUUGUGUACCAAACCUUGCCUGUCCUUGGCCACGUCUAAGGAAUAAAACCCAUCUGUGACUUUGACAUCCUUUCCAGAGUCGUGCUCUGGAAUUUCCAGUAAUCCAUUAUAUAGCAUUCAGAAAUGUGCACUCUUUAAAAAGGUACUGAGUAUAACAUUGGUUCUUCUAUUAGAACAAGCCAAAGAACCCAAGUCAACAACAGUCAACAAUUUAUUGAUACUUGUAACGUUCAAGCUCUACUAGUAUACUUUUAGUUGGAAUUUGAAAACGUUAGCAUGCUAACUAACAUGGUGGGUAUUACAAACAUGUUAAAAAUCUGCAUAACAUAGCGUUUAUGUUGUUACCUAAAUGCAGCCCCACACUGCCGCUGCUUGUCAACACUCUGACACACUAAGACCUGCACAAAAAAACUCUUUUAGUGCCAAAAUUACACCGUGGCUCAGAUAAUACUUUAAGAUAUCGUUUUUGCAGUACACCUUCAGAGAAUGUAGAUGCUUUGAGAGCAGUGCUUUUGGAGUUGUAGCUGUUCCACACUGAGCCACCAUUUCUUUUCACAAAUCCUUCCUAUGACACGUUUCAGCCUCAGGACUUUUACAUUAUUGAAUGUAACUACUUCAUGCUUCACUUGUAACCGUUUGUGCUCUACAGCUGAAACCAGACUAUAACAUGCUAGCUGAAUGUUUAUAUGUAUGUAUGUGUAUGUGUGAUGUUGGCUGCCUACUGUAUUUAUACUUUGUUUGUAAUGCCGUGUCAUUUGCAUUAGUUUUAUGUUUUAUUACAACCUGGAUUGUAUUUUCGUAACAUUCUCAACUGGCUAAUGCUGACUGUAAUAAGGCAAAAUUGCUGAGGAACUUUAAAAUGGAGUGUGGAAUGCAAAAAGUGAGACAGUCACGCAUGUUCCAAACAAACACCCAGAUACGGCAAAUAUAUUUCUCAAAGAAAGAAGAUGAUGAAUGCUAAAACUACUAUACCGACUGUCAGCAAUAGAUGCAAUAAAAAAAAAAAUACAUAUCAGGGGAUAAACAAAGUAAGUAGGACUCAUCUAGUUCAGUACGAACCAAAUUGGUGGGCCUGCCGCCCAACUGACCAACGUCUCCAUCCAUUGCAAUGCUAAAAUUGUAUCAAAAAACAACAAUUAAGCUCUGACGAAGUUUUGUGCAUUGAACGACAAAAUAUGCGAACAGCGUCUUCUGGCAGGUUAAACCUUAUUUACUUAGGACAUAAACACGUGUAGCAGAAUCCUAAGUGCUGCUUCCCAGCUGACAUUAGUUGUAAAGGUAAAGCUGAUUCCCAGCAGAGAGAUGUAGACAGACACUAUACAGACAUAAGGUUGUGAAUACACAGACAAAACCAUGUGUGUUUAUUAAAGACGCCUGCCGAGUGCGAAAAUAAAGGAUGUGUGUGACGUUUGCCUGUAUGUACAAGUAACUCCAUCUGAAGUUCUUUCUAAUCCUUCAGCCUAGUGAGCUCAGAGGUCCACUUGCAAAUGUUUGACUGGAUAUUGCAAUACAGCUCCGAAUCAACAACUAGACCGCUGUAAUUUCCUCUUCAAAGUGCCCCCACAGAGGAGAUUGUGACGGUUUUAACGGCAUUGACUUCAAAUUCAAUUUGGGUUCUACAUUCUUUACUCUCACAAUUUCAAAAGCACUGUCCGUGGGAGGCCGAGCUUCCGCUGAAGGUGACAAAUCUAAAGUGUACAAUAUAAGAUGACUCAUUUUGAUAUACAACUUAAGACUUCAUCUCCCGAGUCUAAUUUUGUUU
Molecule: long non-coding RNA, 9414 nt
Organism: Gasterosteus aculeatus aculeatus (three-spined stickleback)
Lineage: Eukaryota; Metazoa; Chordata; Actinopteri; Perciformes; Gasterosteidae
Source: Ensembl